This 778-nucleotide small RNA is filed under the name Histoplasma ohiense. RNAcentral's name for it is "hypothetical lncRNA". The record is from RNAcentral. Lineage: Eukaryota; Fungi; Ascomycota; Eurotiomycetes; Onygenales; Ajellomycetaceae.
AAUAUCAAAAGCUCCUGGUCCAAAUUGUGUGUUCGGGAAUCUUCCAUCCGUGCAGUCAACACCCCAUGCAGGAUAUUUGGGACCAUAAGUGCACGAAACGAAAAUAAACCACAAGAAUAAUUAAUUCGAUCCCGAGCCGAUCCAGCCGACAAACUCAGCUCCCUCUUCGACGACUAGGGAGAGGUUUUGGCCCUAUUGCUACCCUCUACUCAGAAGCCAUCUAAUGAGAUCGACAUUUUAAUUGAGUUUACGGAAUCCCCGAGGCUUGAAAAUAGAAAGGAUAUUAGAGAUAUCACUACCAGGAACCGAAAAAACAAUUAAAAUUAAAAACAACUUAAGAAUUAUUGACUCCUCAGAAUCGGAGUUUAGAUAUCCCGCAGAGGCAUCUAUUAUUUUAGCUACUAAUUGAUGGAGGAAGGUUGGUUAAUUGUAACUAACUAGCGGGCACAGCACCAGCCCGAUGUCAAAUCAAGUCCACCAAAUUUGGUGGAUAAUACUAUGUACGUACAUCGUGGUGGCCCCAUCAUUUUGCUUUCUAAGAUCUCGCUCCAUAUACCACUCAUUUGUACAGACGGGAUGUUAGGAUGUGUGUGACUUGGGAGUAAAAGUUUGUCAAUCUCUCAAUCAAUUCUACACAAAUGUAGAAAAGAAACCUAGUUACUGUCCGUGGGCAGAUCGACAACUAGGGAUCAGACUGUGCCCUCCAUCUAUGUACCCCUAUAUUGCGUCGUACAAGGUCCUUCCCGCCUCUUUUUGCACCCUCUUUUCUCUCAACGCU